RNAcentral lists this ribosomal RNA (448 nucleotides) under uncultured bacterium. Its description in RNAcentral is "bacterial SSU rRNA". It matches the Rfam family "Bacterial small subunit ribosomal RNA", at positions 328 to 793 of the family's 1533-position model. The record is from RNAcentral.
UUCCCAGACUCCUACGGGAGGCAGCAGUGGGGGAUAUUGCACAAUGGGGGAAACCCUGAUGCAGCGACGCCGCGUGUGGGAAUACGGUCCUCUGGCUUGUAAACCACUGUCCCCAGGGACGAAGAUGACGGUACCCUGUGAGGAAGCCACGGCUAACUACGUGCCAGCAGCCGCGGUAAUACGUAGGUGGCGAGCGUUGUCCGGAAUUACUGGGUGUAAAGGGAGCGUAGGCGGGAUAUUAAGUUGAAUGUAUAAACUACCGGCUUAACCGAUAGAAGCGUUCAAAACUGAUAUUCUUGAGUGAAGUAGAGGCAGGCGGAAUUCCUAGUGUAGCGGUGAAAUGCGUAGAUAUUAGGCGGAACACCAGUGGCGAAGGCGGCCUGCUGGGCUUUAACUGACGCUGAGGCUCGAAAGCGUGGGUAGCAAACAGGAUUAGAUACCCCUGUAA